Molecule: small nuclear RNA, 285 nt
Filed under: Peromyscus maniculatus bairdii (prairie deer mouse)
Lineage: Eukaryota; Metazoa; Chordata; Mammalia; Rodentia; Cricetidae
Description: 7SK RNA (ENSPEMG00000003711.2)
Rfam family: 7SK RNA
About the family: 7SK was discovered as an abundant small nuclear RNA in the mid-70s but a possible function has only recently been suggested. Two independent studies have found that 7SK RNA binds the CDK9/cyclin T complex (known as elongation factor P-TEFb).
Source: Rfam by way of RNAcentral
AAAUGUGAGCGUGACAUCUGUCACCCCAUUUAUUGCCAGUGUUGAUUUGGCUGAUCUGGAUCGCUAGGCAGUGGUCCCCUUCUUCCCUCAUAGCUCCAUAAGCAUCCUUCCUGAAGUUUCCUGCUGAGUCAAAGAGGAUGACCUUCCCCAGUUGAGGAAGAACGGUUUUUCCAUCAAGGGUAGACUGCACUCCCCUGCUCCAGCCUUCAACCAAACUCUCAUUCUGUUACACUAACGGCAGGCACCAUGGUCUCUCAGCAGAUCCACUGCUCCUGUAAAGCUAGU